This 403-nucleotide ribosomal RNA is filed under the name Fusobacteriota bacterium. RNAcentral's name for it is "Fusobacteria bacterium partial 16S ribosomal RNA". It matches the Rfam family "Bacterial small subunit ribosomal RNA", at positions 355 to 776 of the family's 1533-position model. The record is from RNAcentral. Lineage: Bacteria; Fusobacteriati; Fusobacteriota.
UGGGGAAUAUUGCACAAUGGAGGGAACUCUGAUGCAGCGACGCCGCGUGAACGAAGAAGGCUUUCGAGUCGUAAAGUUCUUCUAUAUGGGAAGAUAAUGACGGUACCAUAAGAAAAAGCCCCGGCUAACUACGUGCCAGCAGCCGCGGUAAUACGUAGGGGGCUAGCGUUGUCCGGAAUCACUGGGCGUAAAGGGUUCGCAGGCGGAAAUGCAAGUCAGGUGUAAAAGGCAGUAGCUUAACUACUGUAAGCAUUUGAAACUGCAUAUCUGGAGAAGAGUAGAGGUAAGAGGAAUUUUUGGUGUAGCGGUGAAAUGCGUAAAUAUUAAAAAGAAUACCGGUGGCGAAGGCGACUUACUGGGCUCAUUCUGACGCUGAGGGACGAAAGCGUGGGUAGCAAACAGG